GAUGAACGCUGGCGGCGUGCCUAAUACAUGCAAGUCGAGCGAACAGACGAGGAGCUUGCUCCUCUGACGUUAGCGGCGGACGGGUGAGUAACACGUGGAUAACCUACCUAUAAGACUGGGAUAACUUCGGGAAACCGGAGCUAAUACCGGAUAACAUGUUGAACCGCAUGGUUUAACAGUGAAAGACGGUCUUGCUGUCACUUAUAGAUGGAUCCGCGCCGCAUUAGCUAGUUGGUAAGGUAACGGCUUACCAAGGCAACGAUGCGUAGCCGACCUGAGAGGGUGAUCGGCCACACUGGAACUGAGACACGGUCCAGACUCCUACGGGAGGCAGCAGUAGGGAAUCUUCCGCAAUGGGCGAAAGCCUGACGGAGCAACGCCGCGUGAGUGAAGAAGGUCUUCGGAUCGUAAAACUCUGUUAUUAGGGAAGAACAAAUGUGUAAGUAACUAUGCACGUCUUGACGGUACCUAAUCAGAAAGCCACGGCUAACUGCGUG
RNAcentral lists this ribosomal RNA (497 nucleotides) under uncultured bacterium. RNAcentral describes it as "partial 16S ribosomal RNA". It matches the Rfam family "Bacterial small subunit ribosomal RNA", at positions 28 to 507 of the family's 1533-position model. The record is from RNAcentral.